Molecule: ribosomal RNA, 2508 nt
Filed under: Triticum aestivum (bread wheat)
Lineage: Eukaryota; Viridiplantae; Streptophyta; Magnoliopsida; Poales; Poaceae
Description: partial small subunit ribosomal RNA
Source: RNAcentral
GCUGCUUCAGAGGCAUCUUAUCUUGUUGGGCGUGAAAAAGAGAAAUACGAACUUAUCAAACUAAUUGCAAAUGAAGAUAUCCAACAAAGUAAGGUGAUAUGGGUGUCGGGGAUGGUUGGUAUUGGAAAAACUACUCUAGUACAAGCUAUCUACCAACACCAGGAGCUCCGUGGAAUGUUUGAGAAGCAUGCUUAUGCAACAAUCUUGCGUCCCUUCAUUCUCGAGGAGCUCCUUACGAGCUUAGUCGUGCAAUUAGAUGAAGAAAAUUCUGAAGAGGACAUGAUGGGCUUGUUGCACAAUGAAAAGAAAAGAUUACCAUUGAGGUCUCUUGAAGAGUUGAUCAAGUUGUUUGCCAGACAUUUAGCAACAAAGAGGUGCUUCAUUGUUCUUGAUGAUCUGUUGUCUACUACUGAGUGGGACGGGAUAAGUCAAGCAUUCCCUGAAACAGAAAAUACAAGUCAGAUCAUAGUUACCACAAGAUUCUCUAAUAUUGCCAAACAGUGCUCAUGGGGAAAAAGUAGCAUAUACACACUCUUUGCUCUAAACUACCAUGACGCACAUAGCCUCUUCACAACAAAGGUAUUUAAGGAGACUGUAAAUUUCGAUGAGCAAUAUCCUGAGCUAGCUGAACAGGCAGACCUGAUAUUGAGAAUGUGCCGUGGACAACCCCUGGCAAUUGUCACCACAGCUACCUUCUUGGCAAACCAACCAAAAACCUUGGAGGAGUGGAGAAGAUUUAAUGAGCAAAUCAAUGAUGAGCUGGAGAUGAAUACAGAGGUUGGGGUCAUAAGAGCACUCCUUAGCAAAUGCUACGAUGGCUUACCCUAUCACCUAAAAUCUUGUCUAUUACACAUGUCCAUCUUCCUCCAAGACCAAAAGGUUAGCCGGAGACGGUUGGUGCGGCGGUGGACUGCAGAAGGUUACUCAAGGGUGGUGCGUGCCAGGUCCGUGGAGGAAACGAGAGAGAGCUACUUCAUGGAACUCAUAAGCAGGGGCAUGAUACUACCGACUCAACAAUCAUUUCGUAGCACAAAAGGAAUUGACUCGUGCCAAGUCCAUGAUAUGAUCCGUGGAAUUGGUAAUUCUAAGUCAGUGGAAGCAAAUCUUGUUUUCAGAUUGGAGGAAGGUUGUAGCCUAGACGGAGUGGGCACAGUCCGACACCUUGCUGUAAGUUGGAAUUGGGAGGAAGACCAAAGUGAAUUUGAGAGCAUAGUGGGCAUAUCUCAUACACGGUCAUUGACAAUAUUUGGCAAGUGGAGGCCAUUUUUCAUUUCUGAGAAGACAAGGCUUCUACAAGUACUUGACCUGGAAGACACGUCAGGUCUAGUUGAUCAUCACCUCGAGCAUAUCGGAAUUCUUCUUCACCUAAGAUACCUAUCCCUAAGAGGAUGUCUUCAUAUUUAUCACCUGCCAGGUUCGGUGGGUAACCUAAGGCAACUCCAGACAUUAGAUAUUGCAGGCACAUCCAUAUUCAAGUUACCAGGGAGCAUUGUCAAGCUUAGUAAGCUACAGCAUAUUCUUGCUGGCGCCAUCAGAAAUCAAGAUGACAACGACGACGACUUUGAAACAUCCUUUGAAGAUGUGCCAAAGCUAACGAGGAACAGGCUAUGCUUUUUGACUUGCUCUUCAGUGGCACUAUGUGUGGGAUGCUGCGCAUCUCCUCAUAUGGAUGGAGACGUGAACAGGCGUGAUGUAUGCACUGCGUGCUGCUGCUCCAUUUUACCUGCGUUUGCAAGGCACCAAUGUCUACGUGGUGUUGCAGUUCCCAGAGGAUUCCAUAAACUGAAAGCCCUGCACACUCUGGGUGCUGUGAACAUCGCAUCGGGGAAGGCCGCUCUAGAAGACUUGAGCAGACUUGGCGGGCUUCGUAAGUUAAGGGUAACUGGCAUCAACAAGAGAAACAGUAAAGAGUUCUGUUCGACAAUUGCUCAUCUCAGGUGCUUGGAAUCGCUGUCAAUGCAGUCAGCGGGCAAGCCUGGUUUAUCUGCCUGCUUGGAUGGCUUGCGCGCGCCCCCGAAAAACCUCCAGAGCCUCAAGUUUUACGGUAAUAUGGUCACUUUGCCAGGAUGGGUGAAGGGCGAGGGGCUUAAAAAUCUCGUGAAGUUAAAGCUACAGAGCUCAAGGAUGUUGCUAUGUGAUGCUGCCGUAGAAGUCCUUGGGAGUUUGCCAAAACUGGCCAUACUGCGUCUGUGGAAGGAGUCUUUCGAUGGAAAUGAUAUCCGUGUCACUUUCCAUCAGGACACAUUCCCGAGUCUGGUGCUGCUGGAACUGGAUCGGGUCGGUGACCUCAGAUCAGUGAAGUUUGAACAGGGAGCAACAGCUAAGCUAGAGCUGCUGCAGUUUCGUAGUUCGCUUAAAGCAGCACACGUUGGCUUGUUUUCUGGGCUACGAAAUCUUCUGAGCUUCAAGGAAUUUAAGCUUGUGGGUACCUACGAGCACAACUUCGUGGCAGACUUGCAGGAACAGCUUGCAUGUAAUUUCAAUCGUCCUGCCUUCAAGACCUACUGA